CAAUGGGGAAAGGAUUCCCUGUUUAAUAAAUGGUGUUGGGAAAACUGGCUAGCCAUAAGCAGAGCCAGUCAUUUCUUAGUAUGCAUUGAACUCAUGCCAAACUAUUGUUUCUCACUAUUAUUGUCUAAAAAACAACGUGUACUAGAAAUGUGAGACAGGAAAUGUCCAUCUGACCUUAUUACGGUAGAAGGAAUUUUCCAGAGUCCAUAUGCUGAUGUAAUUAUUUUAAGAAUUAUUUUUAUUUUUUAAAGUGGUAGAUCCUUAGAACAAUUGUCUUUGCUGUCACCGGCAUAGCACAUGGCUUAUCAUCUUCCGUUUGGAGGAACAGAGCACUGUAAUUGCUGCAAUCAGGUUUUAUAUUAUUUUCUAAUUAGGUUUUAGGAGUUCUUUUUAUUUGCUUGGUUUAUUUGUGUGUGUGAAAUGUAACAUAUAUAUUUGUAUGUCUUAAGCUUUACUUCCUUUGGAAGGUCCUUAAUUUAUUUUACAUAUUCCUUUUUCCACAAAGCUAUGACCAUAUAACUUACUUCCUUCUGUUCCAGUAUUGUACUUUAUGUAAUUUCCUGUAAACAGCAGCAAACAACUUCAGUAUACACUAGCUGUUUGUUCAGUGUUCUUGCAGUACUUACAAUGGACAUUUCUCAGCAUAAUUAAUCUCUUUUUAAAAUUUGGCCCUAUUCUUGUCAGCACCAAUACUAUACUUUGAAAUGAAUGGAAAUGCAGUAGUCAUUGAAGGGAUACGAAUUAAAUCUUAAACUGGGUCUAGGGAUGAGGUGACAAGGGAAAGAACUCUCACAAACCUGGUGCUUUGUUUCUCCUUUGUGAAGUGAAAAGCAAUGAGCUAUACUCUGUGAAAGAAAGGAAAUGGUGCUGACGAGCUUUUCCCCAACCACUGUCCACCUGUGGUUCAGAACUAGCAGAAGUCAACUAGUUAUUUAGUUUGCUAGCACAUUAAGUGUGACAUUUGAUUAUAUGAGCAUCAAGAACUAGAUAUUCAGGCAUAAUUCACGUCCUUUUUCUCUUUCAUUAUAAUGAGUAACUUUAAUUCUUGUUUUAUAUUUGCUUGAAUCCAUGAUCUGUUUUUAAUCCUGUAUCUUCUGUGUCUGACAGGCUCCAUUUCAUCCAUUUUUUAGUUGUCUUUUUUUUUCCAUAUAGUUUUACAGAAUCCCGCAAAUCCUUUUCUCACUAGUAGUACUAUUUCUAAUGCCAAUUUAAACCUUUUUAUUCCAGCAUACUUUGUGCAGAAUGAAUUAAGUGUAUCUAUAGAGAAUGAAUGAUUGGUAUUCAGCCAAGCUUUGCCUGUGUCUUUCCAUGACCAAAAACAAGUCAGGUGAAAAGGGAAAAAAAAAUCAGUGAGUCUGUUGUUUCAUCUUUAUGACUCUGAACAAUCUAUUUGUAUAUUUUGGGAAAAUUUUUUCUCAUUGAAUCACUGUGUAUAUUUAUCAUGUAUUCAACUGAUAGUUGAAUUUUCAUUAUAUAGCUAUAUGGUAAAAAGUUUUGAAUGAGAAACUACUUUUUAUAGCCAUUUCAGAAACAAGUAAGGUCAGUGAGCAUCUUGUUUUAGGAAGAGGGGGAUGGUGGGGACAUUGGACUGAAAGGAAGUCCUAUGUCAGAGGGCUCUGUGCACAUUUUCCUGAAGUACCUCAGCUAUGCUUAAAUGUAAUCUGUUAUUUUAACCAAUCAUAAUGGUUGCAUUUUGCCUUUUCUCAUAUAAAUUAUAAAUGUGAUGACUUAUAAAUAUGGCAAAAGUUUAUUUUUCAGGAUGCCUCUCCCUUCUCUAACUCGAACAGACUAAAUUCUGUUUCCAAAGACUUCAAAAGUGACCAGAUUAUUGUGAAAGGAGAAACACUGUUUUCGAGGGCUGCUGAUAAUGCCUGGUAGCCAGAAGAAACAGCCUGAAUCAUUCAAAGGUUUUCUACCUGGCAAAGAAAUGUGGUAAAAAUCUUGCCCAGAUCUGCAUGUGCUAAGCAUCCAGGUAAGUUGGAGCAUCAUAUUAAUGGCACACAGUGAAGAAACGAAAGGUAAAACUAUAAUGCAAUGUAUUUCUGUGCCUCAUGUUGAAACUUCACAUUCAAAGGGUAAAGGGACUUCAUUCUUCUUCUCCUUCCCCAGCUUGUCUAUUGCAGUUUUGUAUUGAAAUGUUCUCUGGAUUCAUAAAAUAUUUAGGGACUACAUAAAGAAGAAAGACUUUGGAAUCAAAGGCAAGGUUCACCUAACACAACUUUUGUUAGAAGAAACUAGGAAAUCAGGAUCUAUCAAAGGCCCAGUGUUAAUCGGUACCGGUUUCUCACUGUGUUUUGAUUAGAAGAAUAUUGAACAGCAAACAUUUAAGGAUUUGUUUGACUGAAUAUCGACUUAAAGUUCUGAUCUCUAGUAAUGUCAGACGUAUUGCCUUGGUAAAUUGUACAGGUGAAUUGUUAAAGAUGAAAACAUAACAUAUAUUUAUUGUUUGAAUAACUUUAGAGAAAAAACCCCUAAUGCUAUUUAUUUUUCAGAAUCAAGUGUAAUUACUAUAUCAAAAAUCCACAGAAUGUGAAAGUAUAAAGGAAAACUAUCAGGAAACCAGCAGUUGUGAUUUUCUUCAGCAAUUCUUAAUUUGCUCAGCUAAAAACUUUGGAGUUAGACAUAUGGACAGCCCACCCCAAGGAAAGAAUCAGAGGAGAAGGGACACAAGACCCCGGAAACAAACGAAGCACCUUAAUAUGCAUGCUGCAUCUCUCUAAAAUGGUGGAACCUGUUUACCUGCUCUGGAGAAUGGCUGCCUGGGGCAGACAUAGGAGUUGUUCUUACGCUGUGCUUCCUGUGUUCCACAGUAAUGGAAUUGUAGCUGCAAGGCAGUUACCAACCAGGAAUACAAUUUCUCAGCCCCACAUCUUGCACCUACAGCUAAGUGUGGCCAUAUGACCAGUUUUCAUCAAUUAAGUGUGAAUAGAAACAAAGUGUACAACCUUCAAGUGGAGACUUUGAAGAAGAAGGGCAGCCAUCCCUUGUUCUCUUUCCCCUUCCGCUGGUGGGAUACAGAUGACAAUAAGGCCUUGGGUUUUGAGGUAGCCACAGAUGCAAAAUGCCUCAGACCUGAGUCACAAUGUGGAAAAGAGAAGUCUACUUACCUGGAACACCCAGCUUGGUCUAUAGAUGACCAAGAAAUAAACUUCUAUUAUGUUUGAACAUUACAGAUUUUGUUCGUUAUAGUAGUUUAUCUCAUCCUGACUAAACUGUUGCAUAUCUUUCAAGAUAGGCCCUCCUUCCCUGAAAGUGACUUCUUCAUACAUGUAAUCUAUAUUUUAAUUCAUAUUCUCCAAAGCAUAUCUACAUCUAUUCAACUAUUUUCAUGUGUUCCAUCAACAGAAACUUCAUAUAAAUAAAUAUAUAUGAAGAUUUUUUUUUUUUAAAGACA
Long non-coding RNA from Macaca mulatta (Rhesus monkey), 3394 nucleotides. RefSeq lists it as uncharacterized. Lineage: Eukaryota; Metazoa; Chordata; Mammalia; Primates; Cercopithecidae. The record is from RefSeq and is a predicted model, not a curated record.